CCUACGGGAGGCAGCAGUGAGGAAUAUUGGUCAAUGGCCGCAGGUCUGAACCAGCCAAGUCGCGUGAGGGAUGACGGUCCUAUGGGUUGUAAACCUCUUUUGUCAGGGAGUAAAGCGCGCCACGUGUGGCGUUUUGCGCGUACCUUAUGUAAAAGCAUCGGCUAACUCCGUGCCAGCAGCCGCGGUAAUACGGAGGAUGCGAGCGUUAUCCGGAUUUAUUGGGUUUAAAGGGUGCGCAGACGGUAUGUCAAGUCAGCGGUAAAAUUUCGGGGCUCAACCCAGUCGUGCCGGUGAAACUGGCGGUCUUGAGUGAGCGAGAAGUAGGCGGAAUGCGUGGUGUAGCGGUGAAAUGCAUAGAUAUCACGCAGAACUCCGAUUGCGAAGGCAGCAUACCGGAGUGUAACUGACGCUCAUGCACGAAAGCGUGGGUAUCGAACAGGAUUAGAUACCCUAGUAGUC
RNAcentral lists this ribosomal RNA (459 nucleotides) under uncultured bacterium. RNAcentral's name for it is "partial 16S ribosomal RNA". It matches the Rfam family "Bacterial small subunit ribosomal RNA", at positions 338 to 795 of the family's 1533-position model. The record is from RNAcentral.